Rattus norvegicus (Norway rat) is the source of this 1731-nucleotide long non-coding RNA. The record is from Ensembl. NCBI's taxonomy places the organism in Eukaryota, Metazoa, Chordata, Mammalia, Rodentia, Muridae.
UUUUUUGAAGGUGUUAUUCCUUGUUUGACUGAAUGUCUAGUCCAGAUUGGCCUUGAGCUCUCUGUGGAGUUAAUAAUGAGCUUAUGUUCUCAGCUCCUGUGUGCUGAGACAAUGGGCAUGUGUCUCCAUGCAUGCAGUUUCUGUGCUGCUGAGGAGAGAACCCAGGCCCUGUAUAUGCUAGGCUGCCAUUUUACCAACUGAGCUACAUCCCUAACUCCACAUCUAGAACCACUGUCUAGUCUCAGUUCCACAGAGUUAAUGCACCACAACCUGUGUAUGAAUGCCUUAGUCUUUAUCUAAUCCUGUCCUUUUGUAAAUGCCUUAGGGGAGGCUUCUGGAAAAAGGGUGUGAUGGUUUAUAAAUGCUUGGCCCAGGGAGUGGCACUAUGUGGAGGUGUUGCCCUGUUGGAGUAUAUGUGUCACCAUGGGAGUGGGUUUUAAGACCCUCACCCUAGCUGCCUGGAAGUCAGUCUUCCACCAGCAGUCUUCAGAUGAAGAUGCAGAACUCUCAGCUCCUCCUGCACCAUGGCUGUCUGGAUGCUGCCAUGCUCCUGCCUUGAUGAUAAUGGACUGAAUCUCUGAACCUGUAAGUCAGCCCGGAUUAAAUGUUUUUAUGAGUUGCCUUGGUCACGGUGUCUGUUCACAGCAGUAAAAUCCUAAGACAUGGGGUUAAUUCAUGUUUCCCUCACGUCAGCUUUUCCAGCAAAAAGUGUUUUCCUGUGGUUCUGAUGGGUACAUUUCCUUUUUUCAAAAACUGUUUUCUGUUCCUGUCUUCCUGUGUGGCUAUGUGGUGCGGGGGGUCAACCCAAGCAAUGCCUUGUCCAUGCUACGUGAAUACUCUCUGCAGAGCUCCAGCUACUGAAAAGCCCGGCUGUGAUCCCAUUUCUUUUGCCUCAAGUAAUGAGCUUUAGGCUCAUUUUAUUUCCUAGAUGAAUAAAGCUUUUCCAGUUUUCGUCAUUCUGCUGAGGUUACCGUGGUGUUGCUCCUUCAACCUUCACUUCAUUAUUUUGGUGGGUAAUUUAAGGAAGUUUUUUUCUUGCAGUAUACAGUUUUUAGUACUUAUUGUCUUUAAAUGAUAACUGUUUCUCUCUGGGAGACAUUUUUCACUGCCUUCAGUGUCUUUGACCUUUUAGAUCUUAAAGACUUUCUUCAUUUUCUCCUUAAGAAAGCGUAAGCUUUGCCCACUCUUUUCUAGUUUAGUCUACUAGAAGCAUUCCUUUUUGAGAUAUAGUUCUUAUACCAAUUUGUCUACUUAAAUUUGAGCACAUAUUUACUAAUAUGUCAACUUUAGAAAACUUUAUAUCUUUCAUCUUCUGCUCUUGUACCCCAUAAGUCAUAAUACCCUUCCAUUUCUAUAGAUAUGCCUUCCUCGAGUUUCAUAUAAAAGAAUCAUAAAUGUGGCAAGUUGUAAAAACUGUUUUCUUACCCUGCACUCAGCAUGUUUUAAGGCUCAUCCAAUACUUUAUUCCUUUUCAUGGCUGAAUAUGUUUCAUUAUACGUACAUUAUCUUUUUGCUUAUCAAUAUAACCGCAGAUGAAUAUUUGGGUUGUCUCCACCAUUUGUCUUUAUGAACAAUGCUGGACUCAAGCUAGAGGCUCCACUCCAUGAUGGGGAAUGAACAUCAGAAAGGAAUUUCAAGGGGCUGGGGAUUUAGCUCAGUGGUAGAGCGCUUACCUAGGAAGCGCAAGGCCCUGGGUUCGGUCCCCAGCUCCGAAAAAAAGAACCAAAAAAA